GAUCAGGGCUCAGGAUGAACGCUAGCUACAGGCUUAACACAUGCAAGUCGAGGGGCAGCAUGUUGGUUGCUUGCAACCGAUGAUGGCGACCGGCGCACGGGUGAGUAACGCGUAUCCAACCUACCCUUGUCCAUCGGAUAACCCGUCGAAAGGCGGCCUAACACGAUAUGCGGUUCACCGCAGGCAUCUAACGUGAACGAAAUGUGAAGGAGAAGGGAUGGGGAUGCGUCUGAUUAG
RNAcentral lists this ribosomal RNA (237 nucleotides) under uncultured bacterium. Its description in RNAcentral is "partial 16S ribosomal RNA". It matches the Rfam family "Bacterial small subunit ribosomal RNA", at positions 15 to 244 of the family's 1533-position model. The record is from RNAcentral.